UCAGCCAAUGGAAGUUUGAGGCAAUAACAGGUCUGUGAUGCCCUUAGAUGUUCUGGGCCGCACGCGCGCUACAAUGAUGGAUUCAACGAGUCGUCGUUCUUGGCCGAGAGGUCUGGAUAAUCUUUUGAAAUUCCAUCGUGCUGGGGCUUGCGGCUUGCAACUAGCCGCACCAACGAGGAAUUCCUAGUAUACGCAUGUCAUCAACAUGCAUAGAUUACGUCCCUGCCCUUUGUACACACCGCCCGUCGCUCCUACUGAUUGGAUGCUCCGGUGAAAAGUCGGGAGAGCGCGCGCGCAGCCAGCAAUGGCUGGCGGGCGCUCGAACUUCUUUGAAUUGUAGUAUCUAGAAGAAGGAGAAGUCGUAACAAGGUUUCCGU
RNAcentral lists this ribosomal RNA (377 nucleotides) under uncultured Plasmodiophoridae. RNAcentral describes it as "bacterial SSU rRNA". It matches the Rfam family "Eukaryotic small subunit ribosomal RNA", at positions 1430 to 1806 of the family's 1831-position model. Lineage: Eukaryota; Endomyxa; Phytomyxea; Plasmodiophorida. The record is from RNAcentral.